This is an RNA transcript of Otolemur garnettii (small-eared galago), 762 nucleotides long. It is a transcript of the gene named protein S100-A10 pseudogene, with no coding region annotated. The record is from RefSeq and is a predicted model, not a curated record. The transcript has a single exon. Lineage: Eukaryota; Metazoa; Chordata; Mammalia; Primates; Galagidae.
CACUUGUUGACUACUUGCUGAACAUUUUCUAUGCAUUAUCUCAUGAAUCUUCCCUUUGAUGUAUCUGCUAUUAUUGUUCCUAUUUACAAGUAAGGAAAUCUGAGGUCAUACAAUAAUACUUGGUGAUUCUGGAGAAGUUAGUUAGCUCUAAAGCAAAUAUUUGAAAAGCAAAAAGGAACUUUGACAAAAUUGCAGGUGGAUAAAAAUAUUAAAUAUAGAAUUUAUAUUAUAAAAUUUGGGUCUGAAUCUGGAUAGGGAAGCUUAGAAGUAAUGGGAAAAAACCACAAAGAAAAGAUUAGUACGGCUCUGUUCGCCGCCCUGCGCCCCAGCCUGCUAGCGUCCGCCGCGCCUCUUGGCCCAGACUUCAGUAGACCUCACCAAAAUGCCAUCUCAGAUGGAGCACACCAUGGAAACCAUGAUGUUCACAUUUCACAAAUUUGCCGGGGUUAAAGGCCACUUAACAAAGGAGGACCUCAGAGUGCUCAUGGAGAAGGAGUUCCUGGGAUUUUUGGAAAAUCAAAAAGACCCUCUGGCCUUAGACAAAAUAAUGAAGGACCUGGACCAGUGCCGAGAUGGCAAAGUGGGCUCCCAGAGCUUCCUUUCCCUAAUUGCGGGCCUCACCAUCGCAGGCAACAACUACUUUGUAGCACACAUGAAGCAGAAGGGCAAGAAGUAGGCAGAACCGAGCAAUUACUCUGCCCUGAAAAGUGUUCUCUCAAAGGAUUGCUUCAGACAUCUGCCCCACAGCUUCUCCCUGGAUAA